UGUAAGAAUGGCAGGAAUCGAUGCACUUGAAAAAGCAGUCGUGAAAGGAUGCCUUUUCAUGCGACAGAGAGCCCCUACCAAUCCAUCCUGCAUUACAGCCAGUCAUCUAGCACAUGAAUCUCAUGGCACUCCCUGCCUCUAUCUUUUUCAUCACCAAACAGGACAACUUAUAGAGUCACCCAAAUGCACCAUAUUCACAGGCUUUGCAAAUGCUAGUUCCUCUUUCUCACUAUCUCCCCCGUGUUUGCAAAAUAAAUGCCUAUAGAUGAAGAUAAAA
This is a long non-coding RNA of Myotis davidii, 277 nucleotides long. RefSeq lists it as uncharacterized. The record is from RefSeq and is a predicted model, not a curated record. The transcript is spliced from 2 exons. NCBI's taxonomy places the organism in Eukaryota, Metazoa, Chordata, Mammalia, Chiroptera, Vespertilionidae.